Molecule: ribosomal RNA, 496 nt
Filed under: uncultured bacterium
Lineage: Bacteria
Description: partial 16S ribosomal RNA
Rfam family: Bacterial small subunit ribosomal RNA
Source: RNAcentral
GAUGAACGCUGGCGGCGUGCCUAAUACAUGCAAGUCGAGCGAACAGACGAGGAGCUUGCUCCUCUGACGUUAGCGGCGGACGGGUGAGUAACACGUGGAUACCUACCUAUAAGACUGGGAUAACUUCGGGAAACCGGAGCUAAUACCGGAUAAUAUAUUGAACCGCCUGGUUCAAUAGUGAAAGACGGUUUUGCUGUCACUUAUAGAUGGAUCCGCGCCGCAUUAGCUAGUUGGUAAGGUAACGGCUUACCAAGGCAACGAUGCGUAGCCGACCUGAGAGGGUGAUCGGCCACACUGGAACUGAGACACGGUCCAGACUCCUACGGGAGGCAGCAGUAGGGAAUCUUCCGCAAUGGGCGAAAGCCUGACGGAGCAACGCCGCGUGAGUGAUGAAGGUCUUCGGAUCGUAAAACUCUGUUAUUAGGGAAGAACAAAUGUGUAAGUAACUAUGCACGUCUUGACGGUACCUAAUCAGAAAGCCACGGCUAACUACGUG